RNAcentral lists this ribosomal RNA (253 nucleotides) under uncultured bacterium. RNAcentral describes it as "partial 16S ribosomal RNA". It matches the Rfam family "Bacterial small subunit ribosomal RNA", at positions 524 to 776 of the family's 1533-position model. The record is from RNAcentral.
UACGUAGGGACCAAGCGUUGUUCGGAUUUACUGGGCGUAAAGGGCGCGUAGGCGGCUUGUCAAGUCACUUGUGAAAUCUCUGGGCUUAACCCAGAACGGCCAAGUGAAACUGACAUGCUAGAGUGCAGAAGGGGCAAUCGGAAUUCUUGGUGUAGCGGUGAAAUGCGUAGAUAUCAAGAGGAACACCUGAGGUGAAGACGGGUUGCUGGGCCGACACUGACGCUGAGGCGCGAAAGCCAGGGGAGCAAACGGG